RNAcentral lists this ribosomal RNA (492 nucleotides) under uncultured bacterium. Its description in RNAcentral is "partial 16S ribosomal RNA". It matches the Rfam family "Bacterial small subunit ribosomal RNA", at positions 29 to 507 of the family's 1533-position model. The record is from RNAcentral.
AGUGAACGCUGGCGGUAGGCCUAACACAUGCAAGUCGAACGGCAGCACAGUAAGAGCUUGCUCUUACGGGUGGCGAGUGGCGGACGGGUGAGGAAUACAUCGGAAUCUACUUUUUCGUGGGGGAUAACGUAGGGAAACUUACGCUAAUACCGCAUACGACCUACGGGUGAAAGCAGGGGAUCUUCGGACCUUGCGCGAUUGAAUGAGCCGAUGUCGGAUUAGCUAGUUGGCGGGGUAAGGGCCCACCAAGGCGACGAUCCGUAGCUGGUCUGAGAGGAUGAUCAGCCACACUGGAACUGAGACCCGGUCCAGACUCCUACGGGAGGCAGCAGUGGGGAAUAUUGGACAAUGGGCGCAAGCCUGAUCCAGCCAUACCGCGUGGGUGAAGAAGGCCUUCGGGUUGUAAAGCCCUUUUGUUGGGAAAGAAAAGCAGCAGGUUAAUACCCCGCUGUUCUGACGGUACCCAAAGAAUAAGCACCGGCUAACUUCGUG